This is a long non-coding RNA of Priapulus caudatus, 1433 nucleotides long. RefSeq lists it as uncharacterized. The transcript is spliced from 3 exons. NCBI's taxonomy places the organism in Eukaryota, Metazoa, Priapulida, Priapulimorpha, Priapulimorphida, Priapulidae. The record is from RefSeq and is a predicted model, not a curated record.
CUUAUACCCGAUGACACAGUAUAGGGUGUUGUGUAUAUACAUCUGAGAAGAUUGGGUGCCUAAGAAUGAGCCGAAACACAUUAGCUCUUUAUAUAAAGAUGAACAUGGACGGAGAGGCUGCAUGGGCGUGAGAAACCCACAAAAAAAUCUCCUCGUUUAUCUCCACUGCCCGUAGUAUUGUUGACAAAUCUACGAUCUAGAGGAGCGGUAAUCUCCACGCUGAUUGAGAGCAUUCGCUACUCCAUCCGCGAAAACCGGAUGCAUCAUUUCCUGGGUGCAAAUCCGAGAACUACGCCUGCAGAACCUAUUCACAGUAAACGCGUGCACAGUAUAAAUACGGCCAUCAAUCGGAUGUGUGACUCCCUGUGAUAAACUCCACAGAGUAGACCCAUUUUGUAUUUAAACGUUAAUGUUUACAUAUCAAUAGGCGUCAACGAACACUGCUGUUGAUUUUGGUUCGCGUGCAAGAUGAUGAGCGCAAAACAAGCGAAGAUUGAUGCCUACAAGGCAGAGAUCGAGCAACUAAGAAGAGAGACACACACUCACCGUACGCUUGUGUCUGUGACAGUAGCCGGCUUGCAGCAGCACUGCGAGACGCACGCAUCUGAGGACUGGCUUCUUGGGAAUGGAAACCCUCACGACAACCCAUUCAAGCCUCUGAGGCCCAGUAUACUUGUGUCGCCGCCAUGCACCGUAAUCUGACGACCGUUCCUGACGUUACCAUCGCGCAAAUCAAACUGGACAAUCGCAUACUCGUGACGUUCAAGUGGACCGCUAUCUAUCGAGAGCACACUCUUCAACGACAAUUACCUACAGAGCAGCAAACGCCAAUCAGGAAUGGAGCCAGUUGGUGCAAAAACCAUUGCAGCUGCUGCCACCUUUUACCAGUUAAAUUUACAAAUGAUAUGCCGCUCUGACAAAAUAAAAUCGCACACGCGAGUCUUACUUAUUACUGGGGCACGUUUAAAUAUUCCUUACAUUGAGACACAGAGCGCGGUUACAUACUUACGCUAUGUAAAUAAAGAGAUGGAGCGUCGUAACUUGACAGCGUGGCAAUCAUAACCACAGGCUGUUGCCAGCUAUAUAUGUACGCCUCUGCAUAGAUGAAUCAUUCCCCUAACUGCAUAACGCGAGCCGAACGAACAAAGCUGUUUACUGCCAACGCCUUGCACGCAUGGCUCGCGUUAUCCGUGGGUAACCGGUCUCAUCCUCAAACCUAGUCGUCAAGUUUUAGUAACUCAACGUAAGCGUCCGUUUGCAUUUAGCAGAUAUUCGUGGCUGUCCGUGCGGAUGAGUUGUAUAUAUGAUGAGUGGAUAAGUACGUAUAACUAUAUAUAAAAGCGGUCGCAACACGAUCGCUCAAAUUGUUCAGAACUACAGGAGCAGAUGGUAGAAAAUUGAAUAAAAUAUAUAUAAUUAUGUGCACGAAUCGA